Molecule: long non-coding RNA, 250 nt
Filed under: Manihot esculenta (cassava)
Lineage: Eukaryota; Viridiplantae; Streptophyta; Magnoliopsida; Malpighiales; Euphorbiaceae
Description: long non-coding RNA (MESC_LNC009369)
Source: RNAcentral
UGAGAUAGCUGCUUCAGAGUCUCCUCAGAGCUAGCUUAAGGUGACUAGAAUAAAUCCUUAUGUUUUUAAGUAAAUAAAGUUUUAGCAUAAACCAUGCAUCAUGAAUGCCAUGAGAUAUACUAGGUUGUAUGCACUAGAAUUCACGAAUAUGUUGCAUUGCACAAUAUGAUGUUGAUGUGGAUGGAUGUUGGAUGACCCUUUAGUCCUCGUAUGAUAUGAUAUGAUGAUGAUACGGUAUGGAAGACCAGUG